This 854-nucleotide ribosomal RNA is filed under the name Staphylococcus epidermidis NIHLM040. RNAcentral's name for it is "bacterial SSU rRNA". It matches the Rfam family "Bacterial small subunit ribosomal RNA", at positions 1 to 836 of the family's 1533-position model. Lineage: Bacteria; Bacillati; Bacillota; Bacilli; Caryophanales; Staphylococcaceae. The record is from RNAcentral.
UUUUAUGGAGAGUUUGAUCCUGGCUCAGGAUGAACGCUGGCGGCGUGCCUAAUACAUGCAAGUCGAGCGAACAGACGAGGAGCUUGCUCCUCUGACGUUAGCGGCGGACGGGUGAGUAACACGUGGAUAACCUACCUAUAAGACUGGGAUAACUUCGGGAAACCGGAGCUAAUACCGGAUAAUAUAUUAAACCGCAUGGUUCAAUAGUGAAAGACGGUUUUGCUGUCACUUAUAGAUGGAUCCGCGCCGCAUUAGCUAGUUGGUAAGGUAACGGCUUACCAAGGCAACGAUGCGUAGCCGACCUGAGAGGGUGAUCGGCCACACUGGAACUGAGACACGGUCCAGACUCCUACGGGAGGCAGCAGUAGGGAAUCUUCUGCAAUGGGCGAAAGCCUGACGGAGCAACGCCGCGUGAGUGAUGAAGGUCUUCGGAUCGUAAAACUCUGUUAUUAGGGAAGAACAAAUGUGUAAGUAACUAUGCACGUCUUGACGGUACCUAAUCAGAAAGCCACGGCUAACUACGUGCCAGCAGCCGCGGUAAUACGUAGGUGGCAAGCGUUAUCCGGAAUUAUUGGGCGUAAAGCGCGCGUAGGCGGUUUUUUAAGUCUGAUGUGAAAGCCCACGGCUCAACCGUGGAGGGUCAUUGGAAACUGGAAAACUUGAGUGCAGAAGAGGAAAGUGGAAUUCCAUGUGUAGCGGUGAAAUGCGCAGAGAUAUGGAGGAACACCAGUGGCGAAGGCGACUUUCUGGUCUGUAACUGACGCUGAUGUGCGAAAGCGUGGGUAUCAAACAGGAUUAGAUACCCUGGUAGUCCACGCCGUAAACGAUGAGUGCUAAGUGUUAGGGGGUUUCCG